GGACGAACGCUGGCGGCGUGCCUAAUACAUGCAAGUAGAACGCUGAAGAGAGGAGCUUGCUCUUCUUGGAUGAGUUGCGAACGGGUGAGUAACGCGUAGGUAACCUGCCUUGUAGCGGGGGAUAACUAUUGGAAACGAUAGCUAAUACCGCAUAACAAUGGAUGACACAUGUCAUUUAUUUGAAAGGGGCAAUUGCUCCACUACAAGAUGGACCUGCGUUGUAUUAGCUAGUAGGUGAGGUAAUGGCUCACCUAGGCGACGAUACAUAGCCGACCUGAGAGGGUGAUCGGCCACACUGGGACUGAGACACGGCCCAGACUCCUACGGGAGGCAGCAGUAGGGAAUCUUCGGCAAUGGGGGCAACCCUGACCGAGCAACGCCGCGUGAGUGAAGAAGGUUUUCGGAUCGUAAAGCUCUGUUGUAAGUCAAGAACGGGUGUGAGAGUGGAAAGUUCACACUGUGACGGUAGCUUACCAGAAAGGGACGGCUAACUACGUGCCAGCAGCCGCGGUAAUACGUAGGUCCCGAGCGUUGUCCGGAUUUAUUGGGCGUAAAGCGAGCGCAGGCGGUUUGAUAAGUCUGAAGUUAAAGGCUGUGGCUCAACCAUAGUUCGCUUUGGAAACUGUCAAACUUGAGUGCAGAAGGGGAGAGUGGAAUUCCAUGUGUAGCGGUGAAAUGCGUAGAUAUAUGGAGGAACACCGGUGGCGAAAGCGGCUCUCUGGUCUGUAACUGACGCUGAGGCUCGAAAGCGUGGGGAGCGAACAGGAUUAGAUACCCUGGUAGUCCACGCCGUAAACGAUGAGUGCUAGGUGUUGGAUCCUUUCCGGGAUUCAGUGCCGCAGCUAACGCAUUAAGCACUCCGCCUGGGGAGUACGACCGCAAGGUUGAAACUCAAAGGAAUUGACGGGGGCCCGCACAAGCGGUGGAGCAUGUGGUUUAAUUCGAAGCAACGCGAAGAACCUUACCAGGUCUUGACAUCCCGAUGCUAUUUCUAGAGAUAGAAAGUUACUUCGGUACAUCGGUGACAGGUGGUGCAUGGUUGUCGUCAGCUCGUGUCGUGAGAUGUUGGGUUAAGUCCCGCAACGAGCGCAACCCCUAUUGUUAGUUGCCAUCAUUCAGUUGGGCACUCUAGCGAGACUGCCGGUAAUAAACCGGAGGAAGGUGGGGAUGACGUCAAAUCAUCAUGCCCCUUAUGACCUGGGCUACACACGUGCUACAAUGGUUGGUACAACGAGUUGCGAGUCGGUGACGGCGAGCUAAUCUCUUAAAGCCAAUCUCAGUUCGGAUUGUAGGCUGCAACUCGCCUACAUGAAGUCGGAAUCGCUAGUAAUCGCGGAUCAGCACGCCGCGGUGAAUACGUUCCCGGGCCUUGUACACACCGCCCGUCACACCACGAGAGUUUGUAACACCCGAAGUCGGUGAGGUAACCUUUUGGAGCCAGCCGCCUAAGGUGGGACAGAUGAUUGGGGUGAAGU
This 1475-nucleotide ribosomal RNA is filed under the name Streptococcus thermophilus. RNAcentral describes it as "bacterial SSU rRNA". It matches the Rfam family "Bacterial small subunit ribosomal RNA". The record is from RNAcentral. Lineage: Bacteria; Bacillati; Bacillota; Bacilli; Lactobacillales; Streptococcaceae.